Molecule: ribosomal RNA, 431 nt
Filed under: uncultured bacterium
Lineage: Bacteria
Description: partial 16S ribosomal RNA
Rfam family: Bacterial small subunit ribosomal RNA
Source: RNAcentral
AACGAACGCUGGCGGCAGGCUUAACACAUGCAAGUCGAGCGCCCCGCAAGGGGAGCGGCAGUCGGAUGAGUAACGCGUGGGAACGUACCUUUUGGUUCGGAACAACUCCGGGAAACUGGAGCUAAUACCGGAUAAGCCCUAACGGGGAAAGGUUUAUCGCCGAAAGAUCGGCCCGCGUCUGAUUAGCUAGUUGGUGAGGUAACGGCGCACCAAGGCGACGAUCAGUAGCUGGUCUGAGAGGAUGAUCAGCCACACUGGGACUGAGACACGGCCCAGACUCUUACGGGAGGCAGCAGUGGGGAAUAUAGGACAAUGGGCGCAAGCCUGAUCCAGCCAUGCCGCGUGAGUGAUGAAGGCCGUAGAGUAGUAAAGCUCUUUUGUCCGGGAAGAUAAUGACGGUACCGAAAGAAUAAGCCCCGGCUAACUUCGUG